Molecule: microRNA precursor, 93 nt
Filed under: Microcebus murinus (gray mouse lemur)
Lineage: Eukaryota; Metazoa; Chordata; Mammalia; Primates; Cheirogaleidae
Description: miRNA (ENSMICG00000041507.1)
Source: RNAcentral
GGAGGAUCUCUUGAGCCCAGGAGUUAGGGGUUGCUGUGAGCUAUGAUCACACCACUGCACUCCAGCCUGAGUGACAGAGCAAGACUCUGUCUC